This is a non-coding RNA of Aedes albopictus (Asian tiger mosquito), 58 nucleotides long. NCBI's taxonomy places the organism in Eukaryota, Metazoa, Arthropoda, Insecta, Diptera, Culicidae. The record is from Rfam.
UAGCCUAGUGGUGAAGGCUAUGGAUCGCCAAUCCAGAGACGGCGGGUUCGAUUCCCGU